RNAcentral lists this ribosomal RNA (245 nucleotides) under uncultured bacterium. RNAcentral's name for it is "partial 16S ribosomal RNA". It matches the Rfam family "Bacterial small subunit ribosomal RNA", at positions 528 to 772 of the family's 1533-position model. The record is from RNAcentral.
UAGGGGGCAAGCGUUAUCCGGAUUCACUGGGUGUAAAGGGAGCGUAGACGGUAAUGCAAGUCUGGAGUGAAAGCCCGUGGCCCAACCGCGGGACUGCUCUGGAAACUGUGAUACUGGAGUGCAGGAGGGGUAAGCGGAAUUCCUGGUGUAGCGGUGAAAUGCGUAGAUAUCAGGAGGAACACCGGUGGCGAAGGCGGCUUACUGGACUGUAACUGACGUUGAGGCUCGAAGGCGUGGGGAGCAAA